Molecule: long non-coding RNA, 5712 nt
Organism: Brassica napus (rape)
Lineage: Eukaryota; Viridiplantae; Streptophyta; Magnoliopsida; Brassicales; Brassicaceae
Exons: 3
Source: RefSeq, a predicted model, not a curated record
CCUCGUGGUCAUGUUCUUCGAGUUCCUCCACUGUAAUUUGUCUCGGUUCAACCUUUCAUCUGACUUGUCAAGAAUUUUGUUGUUACUUGUUGUCAUGUUCGCUCCAUAGUAGAAUGGCUUCAGAUCUGAUUGCUUUUGAUUCCAUGUUUUUACUUUUUUUUUUUUUUUGCGGUGGGAUUAAGUUUAGGUCUCUGCAAGUCUCAAUAAUUUAUUUUUGAAAUGAUAUUUACACUUUAACUCAAAAAACCUAUGCUAGCUGGCUGCAUAUUAUGGAGAAAAAAGUUACAAUAAAUCUUCAGCAUGGUGUAUGGCGUACCAUCGAACAUGAAUUUCAUGGGACAGCUCGGAGUGGUGCAGUCAUAUAUGUAUUCUCAUACGACGGUAGAAUUGUCAUCUUUUAAAAUCGUCUAUAUAAUAUUUUUUAUCCAAACGUUAAAAAAAAGACCAGCUGGCUGCAAACAAUCUUUGACUCGCAUCGCAUGACUUUCAAAAUCCGUUUAAGAAGUAAAUUUCUCUUGAUUCGCAUCAAUAUAAUAUGUUCAUCUAAACUAAAGUACAAUUAGAACUUAACCCUGAUUUUUCCUUAAUAAUUACUAACUUGUGCCACUGGAAUCCCUUAUAUACUAAAGCACAAGUCAUAUGACCAACAAAAUUUUGACACGUGGAAUAUGUUCUACAAUUUAAAAGAAAAAUAAUUUAAAUGUAAAAACCUGAUCUUGUAUUAACUUAUUUCUUUUUUUUCUAUAUAAAAUAAAAAUUCCUAAUAUCUCUCACAAUGUGCCCAUGAUCCCACGAUCCCUAAUACUGUUAAUCAUUGUUUUUUUGAGUAAUCGAUUUAACUCAUAGUGCCAUAUAUUUAGAUUCAUUUGUUGCAUUCAGAAUUUGUAAAUUCUUAAAUUCUUUGCAGCACUCCAUUGAUCCUCUCUAAAUUUCAACUUCUAACCAGAUAGAUUAAAACUUUUAAUGAUGAAACCUUUUGCAGUUCCAAAUUCAAAUCGAAGUAGUUUUUGGUCAAACUUGCACAACAAUAAUCUUCAAGAAAAUGUUUCAAGGAAACGAGAAAAAGGACGCCAGUACGCUAUGGAUUGAUAUUUCGAAGUCUUAAGAUGAAGUUUGUUCAAAAAAAAGAGAUGAAGGUUAAAGUCCAGGUAAGUAAACGCCUAAACUCUUCAUGCUCAAAUAACCUUUUGCAUGAACCUUAUUCUCAUAUACUUGCAUAUAAUUUUUUUCUGCAUUCUAAACAUUGUCCAAACCUAGAUACUGCAUGUAAGAAGGAAAGGAUAAACAAAAUAUGUCAAUAACAUAAUUAAAAAGGACUAAUCAACUGUCGAUUUGCUGGAAUGAGUUUAUUUUUAUCGUGAUGAUAGACUGAUAGAGUGAUAGUUCAGGAAAAGAGAUUAAAAUGGUCUCAACUUAAAACACAUAUACAAAACCUGUAGAAUGAAAAGCACCACAAGAAGAAAAGAAAAGAAAAGGGGGGAAACAUGGAGAUUUAAGGCAGCAAAUGGAAACUCAGGGGAUAGAGAAAACAAAAGGAUUCAUGUCUACUAUCCAGAUUAAGAUCUAACUUGAUAGUAAGAUUUCCUUACUUUUAUUUGUGUGUUAGUAAUUUAUACAAAUGUUGUGAUUUUUUUUUUUAAAUUUCAGAUCAAAAUAUAUAUACUUUUAAUUAUUUUCUAUUUCUAUUUGUAGAUAGAAGCAAAAAGAAAACUCCAAGUAAGCAUAGCAAUGAAAAUAAAAAUAUAUAAAAGAGUAUUAUGAAGAAAUAAAAUAAAACCAUAAAAGAAGGGAAAUACUACAACGGGACUAUAUGCUUUCCCUCAAUCUUAUUUUUCAUAUGUAAUAAUUUUUUCCUGUUUUUGGAAGAAAGAUAUAAAAGGUUCAUUGUGGACUAUAAAGCGCAAUUUUUUCUUUUUUCUAAUUCUACCGAUAAAUAUAACCCUCAAAAUAACAUUCUUUCCAUUAUAAAUUAUAUUUUAAAAUAUAUAUUCAUUUCUAUUGUAAAUUAUAAAAAUAAUGGCCUUAUGCACGGGAGUAAUAUACUAGUUAAAGUUAAACCUAAAGUCUUAACUCAUUAAGGUUGUUUUAGUCUUUUCUUACAUUAACCUAAUUUUUGUUAUUCGAUUGAUUUAAUUUUAACCUUUUUGGCGACAAAGAUAACGAGGGAUGAAUGCCGGGGACAAUGACGAAGGUGUAAAUUCCUCUUAGCGGUGUUGUUCUGUUUAUCAACGUACGGUGGAUAGCACGAGGCAGAGCGAGAAACCUUCCUGUAUUAUUUCCCAUCGAAGCUCCGUAGAUCUCACAGUGUGAUCAUCUUUGUAACACUCCAUGUAAGAGGUUUAUGCGUAAAGGACAUUUGUAUCCACCUGUGCCGUCUGAGGAAGGAGAAGUUCAUGGAAAAGUUUGAUUUUUUAAUCAUUUUAGGAAGGAGAUGUUGUUGAGGGUAAUGAAUAUGAGAGAGUGACAGUUGGUGUUGAAUACGAGGACAAUUCUGAGAACAUGGCUGUGAAAACAUAUAAAUGGAUCAAUAACGAUUAUAUCAAAGGAGAGUAGGAUUUCCAGAUUUGACCUUUUUGUUAACUCAUAAUUGGUAAGAAAUGAGGCUUGAUUCUCGUGUUUGAUCGUGGUGUGGUGUCUUUUGGAUUUUUGUUUCUUUUGGUUAGGAAUGCAUGAAGAAACUUAUAGAUAUGUUCAAAGAAAUCAUGGAGUCGAAGAGAAAUCCUGGAGAGAAGGGAAGGUGUGACUAUAACCAUGUCCUAACCGAAGAGCAAGCCAAUGCUCCAUCAUUUUGAAUAAAAUAUGUGUUAAAAGGAUGUUGUCAUUUUCUCACUUAAUUUAUGAGUAUAAUAAAACCUAGAGAAUGAAAGUAUUGUGGAGAUCAAUGAAAAGAGUAGUAAUCAUACGUUGUUUUGUGGGUUGUAUUAUUGUGUUUAUAAGUUUUCUAGAGAUUUUGGCAUAUAUCUUGUGAAUGGUUUGGUUGAUGCCAAUGCUUAUGGUUUCUUUUUUUAAGGAUCAAAUUAAGUCUGAUAUACUCUGCUGAAAUAAUAAACUCAGAAUUAUUGACUAAUCCCUUUUAUAUUCUCAUCAAACUUAUUCCUACAAUAUAGACCGAAAAAUUCUAAGAAACAAACAGAAGGUCAAAGAGUUUGCUAAUGAGGCGUAUGCUGAGAAGAAACUUUGUAAAGAGACAAUGUAGAUAGGAAGUGUGAGCUACACUGCUCUGUAUGGAGAUACCUUUGAUUUAUUCUUUUUUGGUUUGUUUUUUUCAUGUUUAUUUUUUAGUUAAUCAUAAAAAAGAAAUAGGAAAAGUUUAGAUGACUGCACAAGAAUAAUAUAUUAUUAACAUAAAAAUUAAAAACAAAUAUUUACUUUGUUAUUAUAUUAUUAGUUAUUAUAUCUGCGAUAUAAAAUAUAUUGAAUUUAAAAAAAUUAAGACUACCUAACAAAAUAGUAUAUAAUAAAAAGACAAAACGAUAUUCAUGUACGGAAUUUAUUUAUUUAUAUAAAAGUAAAAUCAAAUAUUCGCAUGGGCAUGCGGGUCAAAAUCUAGUUUACUUUAAAACUCAAUCCAUAUACAUUUUUCCAAUGCGUGUUAUGGAACGUCCUAGUGAUAACGGUUAAUGCUUUGAAAAAGGUUUUCACUUUUCUCCAAAUAAAUCGUAUAAUCCUUGGGAUAUAUAGUUAUUUCAUCGAAUUCUUGUCUUGUUCAUGCAGUCUACGUACGUUACGAGUGUUGGGUAUAAGAACAUCCUGGGAGCGGAUGGGGUUAGAGGCAAAGCCCAAGAGUAAGCUGGAAAAAUUCUAAAAUAGCAAGGUUAACACACCUCUUGAAUUUAGCAUUUGCGUUACAGCGAUGUUACCACUUAGUACGUAUUUGGCACAUAUUGUGGCGCAUUUGGACGAGAAGUGGACUUUCGAUGCUUUCGCUGUCUUGGAAGUAUUUUUUUUUAAGAUUAUUUUUUUCGAUGUAUUCAUAUGUCAAGAAAAAAGUUUUAUUUAAAUGAGAAAUGGAAGUUUAAUAUAUGUUAUUUGAGAAACUUGUAUAAAAUAGUAAAUACACACAUUGGAUAUUUGAACUUAGAUUUGGGUUUUUGAUUUGUUAGUUGGAUUUCAUGUUCAUUAACUUAAUCUUAUAAACCAAAUAUAUGUUGAUAUUUUAUAUUGAUAAAAUAUAAAAAAGAAAUUCAUUUUAAAGUAUAUUAUUUUGUUUGAAUUGAUCAAAACAAUAAAAAUUUUACUCUUUAACUUCUCGGUCAAAAUGUGGAAUAAAUUCACAUACUAAUUGACAAUAAUUAAAGUCUCCAUUAGUGCGCCAUGAAGGUUUCAUUUUGUGUUGAAGAAUGAAAUUUGUGCUUCUCAUUAUUUUUCUAUAAAAGGGCAUGUAAGCAUUAUAGAAAAUAUAGACUUUUAACAACAAAACAAAUACCCUCCACUUGAAUAUUUUUUUUAGGUUUUGAGUCUGAGAGUACAACACAAAAUUAGGUUCGAUAGAUUAUGUUUUUCAGUGAUGGUAAACAGAAACAAUGCUACAGUUGUAUCCUGGGAAUCUGAGCACUAUGAAACCGUCAUACUAUGAGGCGUUUAAAGAUUUAAGGAAAGUGAUUAACCAUCUCGACUCUGCAAUUCUUCUUUAUUCUUAUAUUUUGGUAUUGUAAUUUUAAUUUAUGUUCUUAUUAUUAUUUACAAAUAUCAGUUGUCCUAUGGUAGUAAAAUAAUGUUCAUACACUCUUAAAUCUUUAAAUAUUGUUUAUGUUUCUACACUAACAAUAUUGAUAUUUAUUAAAAAUUGUUUUUCGAGAACAGGUUAAUCGAUUCAAUAACAUGUAUUCAAAGGAAGAAAGAGUUUUCUUCAUGGAUCAAUAGUUGUUGACUAUUCAGAUCCGAUUCAUACUAUGAUUUUUUGGAACACUUAAUUUAAUUAUUAAGUACAUGUGUAACCAAUGAGAAGAGAAAAAAAAAAUCAAGUUUAAGUAUGGUGAUACCAUAGUUAUAAAAAAAACAUUUUGAUCUUUGAGAGAUCAAGUUGUAUGGAUGGAAAUGGAUUUUGUGAGUCGACGCCCCAAAUUAAGUUUGGGAGAGGUUUGCCACAUAUAAGGUCUGCCACAUAUAAAUCAUUUGCCAUAGGAAAUCAAAUGUUUGUUGAUAUUGAUCAAAACAUUUUUAUUUCGUCAAUGCUUAAGUGCAACUUGUAAAAAGAUUGACCGUAGAAAAUCAAAUAAAAUUUUCAGACCAAUUUGACUAAAACUGACAUGUGUAUUGUAGUUUAUAAAGUCAAUAUGGUUGAGAAAAACCAUAUAGAAUGGUGGUUUUGAUGGUAAAAAUAAUAUCUUGUAAUGAUAUGUAUAUUUGCUAAAAAGCAAAAAUAUGUUUUGGAAAAAUUCAAAUCAUAUAUAAUUUGGAUUUACAAAUCAACUUGAGAAAACUCUGAAAAUAGUUAUAUGUAAAAUGUGAAUUUAUAAGAGUGAAAUACAUUUUAUAAGAAAAUUGUAAUAAUUUUCAAAAUUGCUUUUUAUUCAUUUAAAUCUAAAGGAGUUGUAGAUUAACUUUCUAAACUCUUAAGAGAUGUUAAAUGCAAAUAUGCAAAUUUUGAGUUAUCUCAAAAAAUGUGGGAGAAAUUUUGCUUACCAUAUAGAGUUAUUGGCAAGAAGCCAAAUGAACUUAAUGAUAGUUAUCACAAAAUGAUAUUUAAAAAAAAAAAAAAAAAAAAAAAAA